GCCACGUGGUAAGGAACUGAUGUUUAUUGUGAACUUGUUGGCCAUUUAAGUAAUCGGCUUUUACAUGAACGCAGGCUUUAACUACAAAAAGAAUGCCACAGAUUGCACUCUGUAUUCAUUUUCAUGCAUGUCUGUCACAGUUUCUGAACCUGCGACUUUACUUUUUGUUACUUAGGUGAGAAGUACUUUUUGAAGAGAGUUCUCUACCUAGUGGUUUAACCCUUGGCUUGGUGAGGUUUCCUUUAAUCUGGGAAAAGCGGCUGGCCGGUCGGUUCGUCCUGGUCUGCAGCUUCAGGGAGAAAAGCUCACUCCUCAUCACCUUCAUCCUCAUCUUCAGGGUUUCGUUUUCCUUCAGGCUCUGGCUCAGCUGUACCUGGAGGGACACCGAGCUCGCCGAGAACAGCUGACUGAUUUCUGUCACCGCCGCUUUAACCAGCACUUCCAUUACGGACACAAGCUGGGACUCCAGGUCCAGACUCCCCGGUGCAGAGGGCAGCAGUCAGCCAGGGACCUGCCGGGGAGGUGACAGGGGACAUGAAAAAGAGACACAACUGAGGAGGAGGAGGGACAAAGAGACCAAGAGGAGCUCCUCAUCACCCCAUCAUUCAUGAUUGAGUCACUUGCAAAUUAAAGAGAAGCACAGCUUUAACUCAAAACAAUGUAACAAACUGUUUGCUCACACCA
Molecule: long non-coding RNA, 684 nt
Organism: Notolabrus celidotus (New Zealand spotty)
Lineage: Eukaryota; Metazoa; Chordata; Actinopteri; Labriformes; Labridae
Exons: 3
Source: RefSeq, a predicted model, not a curated record